GGUGACGUGAUCGAGUGGUUAAGAUGCAAGGCCGACAGCGAGAGGCAUGCACCCAGAAGGGCAGGCGCCUGGCAUUGGGCCAGCUUGAAUCCUUGUUCCUUUGGGAGCGUGGGUUCAAAUCCCGUCGUCACCG
RNAcentral lists this transfer RNA (133 nucleotides) under Corynespora cassiicola Philippines. It matches the Rfam family "tRNA". From Rfam's summary of the family: Transfer RNA (tRNA) molecules are approximately 80 nucleotides in length. Their secondary structure includes four short double-helical elements and three loops (D, anti-codon, and T loops). The record is from Rfam by way of RNAcentral. Lineage: Eukaryota; Fungi; Ascomycota; Dothideomycetes; Pleosporales; Corynesporascaceae.